RNAcentral lists this transfer RNA (76 nucleotides) under Escherichia coli. RNAcentral's name for it is "tRNA-Val". It matches the Rfam family "tRNA". From Rfam's summary of the family: Transfer RNA (tRNA) molecules are approximately 80 nucleotides in length. Their secondary structure includes four short double-helical elements and three loops (D, anti-codon, and T loops). The record is from RNAcentral. Lineage: Bacteria; Pseudomonadati; Pseudomonadota; Gammaproteobacteria; Enterobacterales; Enterobacteriaceae.
GGGUGAUUAGCUCAGCUGGGAGAGCACCUCCGUUACAAGGAGGGGGUCGGCGGUUCGAUCCCGUCAUCACCCACCA